CCAAAUUAGUUGAUUAUUAUUUCAAUAAUCGAUUAAUCACAAUUAAUUGUUUCAGCCCUUCUUUGAACAUCAAUUCUGAAGAAUUUCUCCACAGAUUCUCUCCUGUAUUGAAGUCUAGACUUUGACACACUUUGAUCCAAACCGUCUCAUUGUUGCUGCAUGUUUAGGGUUCUGGUCCCACUGGAAGGUGAACCUUCUUCUCUAGUUGAGCUUCCACUGACCAUAGAAUUACAUAAAUUGGGAUUAUGAAAAUAAAUGUUUCUUUGUUUGCGUUAGGAUGAGGUGGUUUCACAGCAUUGGGCGGAAAAGACGAAGAAGACGACAGGAUGAUGGCGAUUACUUGGAUUGCAGCUGAACCACACUUAUUCCAGUGUGAAUUGAGAAGUGAGCUGGUCUGAAUUUAAGUCAAGACCUGGAUCUAGUUUGGGAGUUGAAGGUUGACUUGACACAGGCUGAACUUGAAGGAAGCCUCCUCAAAAACCUCACAGCUGAAAGUGAGCGGCAGAAGAAUGAAUUUUCUUUAAAACAGAAUAUUCUUUGGGGUUUCCUACGAUUUCAGGUCACUGUAGCUUAACCCAGAGUUUUUCAAACUGGAGGGGUGGAAAAAAUUUAAUAAAAAACGUUCAUCAUAUUGUUUUUAGUCAUAAAAUCUAAUCUCUUCUUCAAUCAAUAUUGUAGAAUAUGGGGUAGAAAAACUUAUUAAAAUGUUAUUUGCCUUUCUCAGCUUUCUGAUUGGCUGCCAGGCAAAUUCACCAAGCUGCUUUGCUCCUCAAGCUAGCUUAGUGUAGCCAGCUAAUAUCAGAAGGUACGAGGCAGCAUUUAUGCUAAGCAAAUAUGAUUAUUGUAGAGACAACAAAAGUUGAUGAUUGCAUUGUCCGUACUAAUGAAACUAAUCCUGAUUCGGGAGCCAUGGUUUGGAAAAGUUUGGGAACCCCUAGCUUAACCUAAAACAGGAUACAGUUGGAUUGAUAUGCAUGUCUCCUCUCUUAGCAUCAUAUCUAUAACAUAUUUUUUGUACAUUUAAAAUGGCGCGGCUGCAAAUCCGUCAAGUAAUUUCACCGAGAACAACGAAGCGACGCGACUCUUACAGUUUGUUUCACAUCCACACGACGAUAAGAUGUUCGGAAAUCCCUUAAAAGCAGACGAAGUGAAUUAUUAAUGCCUCCUUUGAACCACAUGUUGUGUUUUAGGAACGAUAGCUCUGCAGCCUUUCAGGUAUUUGUACUCACGUUCUUUAGGAACACAGAGAACUGAUGAAAAAUGAGGCAUUCUGGGAGCUCAGAUGUUCCCACAUCAUCAUUUGACCGUUUUCUGAUUAUUAAGAUUUCAGGUGUGAUUUGCUUCUGUUUGAUUUGUUCCAUGCAAAGUUACAGCUACCCCAUCUUACAUCUCUGUCCGUCUCCUCUUUUCUAUCCAUCCCCUUUGCCUUUUUUAUUUUCUUUUUCUCUCUGUGUGUGUUUAUGUGUGUAUUACGCCCGGUAUUGUCUGACACAGGCUGGCAUCUUGUGUACGAUGAAAAUAAGAUGGAUGAAAACACUCGUGGGUGGACGGCAUCAAUGGUCGCGCAGAACAUGCGUGUGUGUGUGACCAUUCAUCACUUCUCCGUCGCUCGGCGUUCCUCUCACUCCCUGCUGUGUGUGUGUGUGUGUGUCAGUAUUGUGUAAGUUUCUGUACAUCUCCCCGCUUCGCGUGUCCGUCUGUUUGGGCGUCUGUUAUAUAACACGGAGGCGAACCAGCUGUGGUUUCCCUGGCCGUCCUCGCCCUCGCUCUCCCGCUGGCCUUCGCUCCAUAAAAUAUUCAUGCUCUCGCCCGCUCCUCAACACUCUUCUUCUGCCCUCCAUAUUUAUGAAGCCGGCCGUCUACCUCUGGUGUUGGGCGGAUUGAGAUCCUCGUGGCCGGAAAGAUUUAUGCAAGAUUUAUUUUACUUGUUGCCGCGGAGUGUGUGCGCGCGCGAGACAGUGAUCCUGGUCAACGGCCGCCCGCCUCGCUAAACAUUAGCAUAUGAAGCAUUAGCAUACGAAGCAUUAGCAUACGAAGCAUUAGCAUACUGGGGUGUGUUCUUAAAGACUAACAGAAUUUGGUGUCUCUUUCAUCCUCCUCUGCGCUACUUUACAAUUUAUGAUCGGUUUGAUUAAAUGAGUGCCUAAAGGAUAUUUUGAAACUUUGGAAAUGAAGGAAAUUUAUUUCUGAUUGACAAUGAUUGCUAUCAGACUGAGUUGCUAAAAUCGCACCAAGAAAUACACGACACGACUUGAACAACGUAUCAUUAUAUGAGCAUAUGACAUCAGUCGAUAACCAAUGAUUAUUGAUUAGUUUAAAAUAUUUGACAUGCAGCCAAGUUGGUGGUGUGACCUUCACUGUUUUAUCCACAAUUUUCACUCCACCCCGUUGUAGUUUUUUAUUCUUCAGUAGUUACCAAGCAUAAUAGUGAAACCUGAAACUGCUGCUGCACAAGUUACUCAACAGGUUGUUGCUAGGUAACCAAAGGGAGAGUUAGUGAGUUGCUAGGAAACCAGAGUGAGUGAGUCAGUUGAUUCUACCAACUUUGUUUAGCUAGCU
Molecule: long non-coding RNA, 2559 nt
Organism: Poecilia latipinna (sailfin molly)
Lineage: Eukaryota; Metazoa; Chordata; Actinopteri; Cyprinodontiformes; Poeciliidae
Exons: 3
Source: RefSeq, a predicted model, not a curated record